GUCACUAGUCCUCGGAGAGUAGACCUUGCUCUGCAGAAGAACCGGAAGGCACCAGGCCGGUCUAGGCUGGUGAGUGUCACCUCGCGCUGGGUGUGGCCGGCACAGGUUGGAGAAGGUCACCGAUGAUGCUGUCACUCUCUUCUGGCCCCUGGGACCCUGCAGGCAGCAGCUCUUCCCAGGUGCUAAGCAGCCAGUGGGAUUAAUGUCUCUCCACCUGCGGGGUCUGCACGAGGGGCUGCUUCUGGGAGGACCCUGCCUGGGUAGUGGCCUCAGAUGCCCCCCUGGGCAGCACCCCAUGUCUUGGCCUGGGGCUCUGGAGGCCUGGGCCGGAGGCGCUGAAGUGGGACAGGAAGGAAGCGGGGAGCAGAGGAGGCCAAGGCUGUCGCCUCCCGGCCCGAGAGGGGCCUGCAGUAAACAGGAAGGCAUGGAGGCUCCACGGUGCGCGGACUGCAGAGGGGCGAGGUUGGGGCCACACUGGACAUGCGCAGCCUGUGAGCCUGGGGCUCCUGCUCACCCCCGGGAAGCGGCCCAGAGAGGUUGCGUGGCUUCCCCUGGGGUCACACAGCCACUAGACUUUGUCUGCCGCUCCUGUUUCUGUCUCUUCCUGUGGUUCCAGUGCAGGGCCUCCUGUCUGAACUGCUCACUGCAGCUCAGUUUCCCUCUCUCUCUGAGCUCAGCAGCCAUACAGCUCGGAGGCUCUGAAGCCCUGGCCCCAUGGACCCCUGUGCUUCCUUGGUGGUCCUUGGGGUGCUCCAGAACUCGGGGAGCAGGUGUCGCCAGGAAGACCAACACCGCCUGGGCCCAACAUCAGCUACAGGAUCCCGGACUCCCUUCCCUGGGGAAAGGGAAAGUGACUCUGAGGGACCCUGCUCUUCCAGUACAGCAGGUUCAAGAAACAAGGAGGGGCCAUGUGACUGGAGCAGACUGAGCAAGGGGAACAGAGCAGAAAGUAAGAUCGAAAAGGUGAGGGAGCUUGUCGACCAUUGGUGAGGCUCCAGCUUUUAUUCCGAGUGAAGUGGUUGCCAGUGGAGGGCACUGGACAGAGAAAGGAUAAAAGCUGAAUCGGCUCUUUUUUAGACAGGGUCUCCCUAAAUCGCCCAGCCUGGCCUUGAACUGGAAAUCCUCCUGCCUCAGCCUCCUGAACAGCUAGGCUUCCGGGUGUGCACCACCACUCCUGGCUCCUGAGUGGGCUGUAACAGGCUCCCUUGCCAGUGUGGAGAAAGGGGUCAAGGGAAGAAGCAAGGACAACCGAGUGAGGAGGUGACUCUGACGUUCCCAGAGGCAGAGGCCAGGUGGCAGCGGAACCACUGAGCUACAUCCUCAGCCCAACAGUGUGGUAUUUCUGAACAACAAUUUUACCGACUGUGUCAUGAUCAUCCAAAGUUACAGAAGCAAAUCGUCUCGUUUUGCCCCUCGGCCUGUCUUCCGUAAGUUCGAUGGUUGCCGUACUUUUCAAAGCAGUCUCUCCACUGUAUCUUCCUUAACGCCGCCAACAGAGAUGGUGUUCCCUGUGAGACAGGCCCCAGGCUGCACUGAAUCCUCCCUAGAAACAGCUCUCCAGUUCCACUCCAGCCACCCGCUUUGUGGCCGUAUCCAGCUCUUCAGUGCAAGAGUAAAGUCACAAAGCCAAAGCCCCCGGAGCGUCUCGUCUGGGGCUCUCUCAUCACCCCCUGAUCUGUGAGCACCCCGCCCCAUUUCUCAAAAUGUUCUCUUAAGCUAUCAUUUGUAGUUUCGAAGCUCAGACCACCAGUCAAGCUACCCCAGCUGCUCCGGUUCCUUUGGGUCAUGGCCCUCCUCCCCCCUGGUGGUGGCAGCAACCACCUGAGUCAGGCUGGGGACCACUGGGCAGCAGUUUUACCUCCAUUUUGAGACAGACGCGCCUUUUCCAACUCGAGUUCAGUAUCUGUCACUGGGUUUUUUGAGACAGGGUCCGGCUACGUAGCUCAAGCUGAUCUUGAACUC
Fukomys damarensis (Damara mole-rat) is the source of this 1962-nucleotide long non-coding RNA. RefSeq lists it as uncharacterized. NCBI's taxonomy places the organism in Eukaryota, Metazoa, Chordata, Mammalia, Rodentia, Bathyergidae. The transcript has 3 exons. The record is from RefSeq and is a predicted model, not a curated record.